UACGGAGGGGGCAAGCGUUAAUCGGAAUUACUGGGCGUAAAGCGCACGCAGGCGGAUUUAUAAGUCAGAUGUGAAAUCCCCGGGCUCAACCUGGGAACUGCAUCUGAUACUGGCAAGCUUGAGUCUCGUAGAGGUGGGUAGAAUUCCUGGUGUAGCGGUGAAAUGCGUAGAUAUCUGGAGGAAUACCGGUGGCGAAGGCGGCCCACUGGACGAAUACUGACGCUCAGGUGCGAAAGCGUGGGGAGCAAACAGG
RNAcentral lists this ribosomal RNA (253 nucleotides) under uncultured bacterium. RNAcentral's name for it is "partial 16S ribosomal RNA". It matches the Rfam family "Bacterial small subunit ribosomal RNA", at positions 524 to 776 of the family's 1533-position model. The record is from RNAcentral.